RNAcentral lists this long non-coding RNA (1155 nucleotides) under Macaca mulatta (Rhesus monkey). RNAcentral describes it as "lncRNA (ENSMMUG00000058690.1)". Lineage: Eukaryota; Metazoa; Chordata; Mammalia; Primates; Cercopithecidae. The record is from RNAcentral.
UAUCAGUUAGGGUGUGGGCUAAGCUACUGCAACAAAGAGUACCAAAAUAAUGUAGAGUGAUUCUAAGAAGAUGGUUUCACCAUCAUGUAACAGUACUGCAGUGAGUAUUCCAAUUUAGUAGAGUUAGUCUGCUCUAUGAGGUCAUUCAGGGAUUCUCAGAUUGUUCCAUCUUGUUGCUCUGCUGUCUCCAAGUGCACUGAUCUUGGCACUGUGAUUGAAAUUGUGGCAUGGGUACAACUGUGAUCUAGAUUGCAAGAAAGGAAUAAGUGGUGCCUACCCAUUUCUGUCAUUUCUGACUAAUCAGGGUGAUUAUAUUCCCAAGAGUGAGACAUCUGUGUGCAGCAAUCUAGAACCAUGCCAGAGCAGCUUUUCCAGUUUCUCACAGGACCUUGGAUUUCUGUCCUUCUGGCCACCCGAAGCAGGGACUGGCUACUGCAGGAUCCUUAAGAACCCCCUGCAAGCUUCACAGGGAAAAUGGCUGGUUGAGUUAAUGCAGUCAAAACUACAGAGACAGAUUUGUGGGCAACAGAGCGAGCUGUAUGCACCAUUUCCAUUUGAGGGGGACAGGGUUCUUCUUCUAAUUACCAGUCAAGGAAACAACUCAUCUUACUAGUAUCACAAAGGGGCUUUGGAAAGCGAAGACUUCUACUUCCCAUAGAGCUUGAUGUGGUGGGGCCUGCUGUGUUAUGUGGCCGCAAGGUGGCUCCAGAGCCUUUUGCAUUAAAAACAAAUGCCAUCAAGGGCCUCUGGUGCUGCUGCUUUCUCCUUAUGUGGUUUUACCACCAGACUUUCUCAAACUUAGUAGAAAAAGAAAGGAUGAUAUUUUGCGUGGUUGGGUUGGUGUUAUGCUAUCUGAGCAUAUUCUGUGGUCUAAAUAGUUUUCAUGAAGUUUAGAGAAAGCAUUAAGCUAUGUAUGUUUAGGCUCACUUCCAUCUCUCUCUCUCACUCUCUUUCUCUGUGUGUGUUUGUGUAUCUAUCUAUCUAUCUAUCUAUCUAUCUAUCUAUCUAUCUAUCUAUCUAUCUAUCAUCUAUUAUCUAUCUAUCAUCUAUUAUCUAUCUCUAACAUCUGUUUACUUAUUGUAUAUAUGUUUGUAUCUUUAUAUAAUAAUCAUUCAUUUUCUAUAUAUCUACAUCUGUAUGUAAUAUUGAUUAAAU